AGAUAAUGUGGCUGAAACAGCACUAAACUGUAAAUUUAGUAAUAGGUUAAAAUCCUCUUUAUCUU
This 65-nucleotide transfer RNA is filed under the name Calanus finmarchicus. RNAcentral describes it as "tRNA-Tyr". It matches the Rfam family "tRNA". From Rfam's summary of the family: Transfer RNA (tRNA) molecules are approximately 80 nucleotides in length. Their secondary structure includes four short double-helical elements and three loops (D, anti-codon, and T loops). Lineage: Eukaryota; Metazoa; Arthropoda; Copepoda; Calanoida; Calanidae. The record is from RNAcentral.